CCUACGGGGGGCUGCAGUGGGGAAUAUUGCACAAUGGGGGAAACCCUGAUGCAGCGACGCCGCGUGAGUGAAGAAGUAAUUAGUUAUGUAAAGCUCUAUCAGCAGGGAAGAAAAUGACGGUACGUGAGUAAGAAGCCACGGCUAACUACGGGCCAGCAGCCGCGGUAAUACGUAGGGGGCACGCGUUAUCCGGAUUUACUGGGGGUAAAGGGAGCGUAGACGGCAGUGCAAGUCUGGAGUGAAAGGCGGGGGCUCAACCCCCGGACUGCUCUGGAAACUGUACGGCUGGAGUGCAGGAGAGGUAAGUGGAAUGCCUAGUGUAGCGGUGAAAUGCGUAGAUAUUAGGAGGAACACCGGUGGCGAAGGAAGCUUACUGGACUGUGACUGACGUUGAGGCUCGAAAGCGUGGGGAGCAAACAGGAUUAGAUACCCGAGUAGUC
This 440-nucleotide ribosomal RNA is filed under the name uncultured bacterium. RNAcentral's name for it is "partial 16S ribosomal RNA". It matches the Rfam family "Bacterial small subunit ribosomal RNA", at positions 338 to 795 of the family's 1533-position model. The record is from RNAcentral.